This 64-nucleotide microRNA precursor is filed under the name Drosophila mojavensis. RNAcentral describes it as "Dmo-Mir-76_pre stem-loop". It matches the Rfam family "mir-981 microRNA precursor family", at positions 13 to 76 of the family's 86-position model. Lineage: Eukaryota; Metazoa; Arthropoda; Insecta; Diptera; Drosophilidae. The record is from RNAcentral.
CAGGUUUCGUUAGCAACGGGCUGUGAUGAUUAAAAGAACAAGUUCGUUGUCGACGAAACCUGCA